This 235-nucleotide non-coding RNA is filed under the name Neomoorella glycerini. RNAcentral's name for it is "Moorella glycerini T-box sequence". It matches the Rfam family "T-box leader". From Rfam's summary of the family: Uncharged tRNA acts as the effector for transcription antitermination of genes in the T-box leader family. T-boxes are found upstream of many aminoacyl-tRNA synthetase genes and some amino acid biosynthetic genes usually in Gram-positive bacteria. The anticodon of a specific tRNA base pairs to a specifier sequence within the T-box motif, and the NCCA acceptor tail of the tRNA base pairs to a conserved bulge in the T-box antiterminator hairpin. Lineage: Bacteria; Bacillati; Bacillota; Clostridia; Neomoorellales; Neomoorellaceae. The record is from RNAcentral.
GCCAAAGCGAUGAGGGGGAGUGUCGGCGGCCCACUCCGGUAGGCGAGAGAGCUGGUGGCUGGUGGGAACCAGCCCGGAGGCUGUCGAGGGGCACCCCUGAGUACCCGGCGAGAAAUCCUGGAUAAGGAAGAAGCCGGGGCGGUCAUGUCCGUUACGCAUGCAGAGGGGGCCGGGUUAUGGCGUUUUUAACCUGGUCAAUUAGGGUGGCACCGCGGGUGAAACUCUCGUCCCUUGC